RNAcentral lists this ribosomal RNA (406 nucleotides) under uncultured bacterium. RNAcentral's name for it is "partial 16S ribosomal RNA". It matches the Rfam family "Bacterial small subunit ribosomal RNA", at positions 30 to 526 of the family's 1533-position model. The record is from RNAcentral.
AUUGAACGCUGGCGGCAGGCCUAACACAUGCAAGUCGAACGAGUGGCAGACGGGUGAGUAAUGUCUGGGAAACCGCCUGAUGGAGGGGGAAAACCACUGGAAACGGUCGCUAAUACCGCAUAACAUCAGAUGUGCCCAGAUGGGUUUCGCUAGUUGGUGGGGUAACGGCUCACCAAGGCGACGACCCCUAGCUGGUCUGAGAGGAUGACCAGCCACACUGGAACUGAUACACGGUCCAGACUCCUACGGGAGGCAGCAGUGGGGAAUAUUGCACAAUGGGCGCAAGCCUGAUGCAGCCAUGCCGCGUGUAUGAAGAAGGCCUUCGGGUUGUAAAGUACUUUCAGUGGGGAGGCGUUACCCGCAGAAGAAGCACCGGCUAACUCCGUGCCAGCAGCCGCGGUAAUAC